This is a non-coding RNA of Bombyx mori (domestic silkworm), 67 nucleotides long. The record is from Rfam. Lineage: Eukaryota; Metazoa; Arthropoda; Insecta; Lepidoptera; Bombycidae.
AAGACUUUCUGACCGUCGGUCUACCGAGCAAUAUGACACGCUCGGUGGAAGAUCUUAGCUCCGUCGU